ACACUACGGAUUAAUAUUCUAUUUUUGUUGUGCUGUGUAAGAGUACCAUCGUCUCUCGAAGUGGAUCUCACGUGUGUCUCGCGCAUUGCACAUAUGUCUGACAACGUACUUAUGUACACACCUUUCUUCGUUAUUCGUUUUAUACGUUUUUUACGAUAUUCAAGUUAUCUUAACAGUAGAAACAGAAGGUCAUUGUAAAUUUUGUAAAUAUUUGCAAAACAUCACGCUUUUAGUAAUUGUUUGAGAGGAAUAAAAGCUAUAGAAAUAUUUUAACAGAUAAAAAUCAAGUCUGCGGUCUUAAAUCACUUGCAUAAUAACGUUAAAAAUUAGAUCUGUAUGACAUGUAUAGGGUGUGAAGGAAGUAAGUGUAAAUAAGAUAGUAUGAUUUUACAGUACCGGAUGGAUGAAGAAAAAAGCUUCUAAAAAAAACCAUAGGCUGCAAAUGAUUCCUUCUCCCGGUCAACAACGUUAAAGUUUUAAUAAUUCGUUAACUGGCUUUAUUGGCAUAAAAAUAUUUAUUUGCAUUUACUUUUUGUGGGAAAAUAACGCGCCAUCGACGAAGCAGUAGGAAAUUACAGAUAUAUCAGAAUACUGAAAUAAUGGAAGAUCUUUACGUGCAGAAAAGGUUGCGUGAUAAUAUGAUUUUCAGCGACUAAAUUAGUAAUUUCGUGAUCAAGAAUUAAUAUUGCGACAUUUAAAUCCAUAUCAAAGAUUAAAUCGAUCCCGCAUUCCUAAAGAAGAUUAAUUAUUGCCAUUCCUCGUGCGCAUUUACUAAUGAAUUUACAUAGAAUAGGUGACAUCGAAUCCAUCAUACGACAAUGUGGCGAAUACGAGAGCGAACUUACAUUUUUACAACAUUCGCCGCGUUUAAACACUCCAAAUAGAUAUGUCACUCGGUGGGACUUUCCCAUUGAAUGAUACUUAUGCUGCAACUAUGCUUUUUCGACCGUGUUACGAAUGCAGUAGCAUCCUCGAUCAACAAACGCCAGAAUUUCAUUUCGUGCUCGCGAUAAAGCGUACGCAAUAAUUCGAGGCAUUUAAUCAAGAAUGGGUAGCAAUUAUGUGCCUACAUCGAUAACAAGUGCGUAUAUUUGCGACUUUUAGAUUCGUGACUCUAUAGCAAAUUACACCAAGUUAAAGCACACGUGCCUACUCUAUCUAUUCCACGCAUGAUUGCUCUCACUCCGACUCAUAGUCGAUCGGUUCGCCAAUUUUUCAAUGAAACGUUUAUAUUAUCGUGAACAGGAUGAAUCGCUUCCCAUGGACCACCUCGCUUUGCAGAUUCGGCACUGCUCCACUUCUUUCUUCGCAGAGUGAAAGAUAUCGUUCAGUAGCUUAAAAUUUAGUUAAAACAGUAGUGUCAAAUUUAGUAUACUUUUUGUCGCCUACGAGCAAAAAUAAAUAUGCGUUUCUUUUACGAUUACGGAUAUCUAUGAGAAUAAUCGUUGAUGGAAAAGAAGCCUGAGCGAAGAAUUAUAUGUAAAUUUGCAAACAAAAAAUUUAAUUCAUUAAUUCAUUAAUGUUAAUUCAUUGUGAAUUAAAAAUCAGUUUGAAAAUUACUAAAACUUUAACAUCGUUGACCGGCAGAAGGGAUCAUUUGCGACCCAUGGUGCCUUUCAGACUGUUGUUUCUCGCGAUGAGCACAGUAUGCUAUAAUAAAAAAGAUUAAACUUUGAUUUUGAAAUGAAUUGAAUUUGAUGUAGGAUCCUCUUUAAACUUACUUUCUUCGCACCCUGUGCAUGACACGUCGGCAAAUACUGGCCGGUAGAGUGAAGUUACGUCCACGCAACAGCAAUCACCAAAGUAUAACUUAUACCACAUUAAUAUAGAUUUAUAGGGAGUAGCGUUAUGUGAGAAAUGAGAACAGCGCGUAAUUGCAAGAGUGUGAAUAUGAAAAGGCGAUUAAGUGUUAGAAAUAGACAAGAGAAGCUCUGAAGCUGGUUCAAAGACAGACGGGAGAAAUUCUAGACAGGGGGAGACAAAGACACGGAGUAGCGAAAUGAGAGAGGACAGGUGGAAGGUGGAAAGACACCUAGUAGAAGCUAAAAGACAAAGGGAUUUGAGGUUAGAGCGAAAACUCGGAUCUACUGGAUGACGAUCGUGUGGGUCACAGGAAGCAGCGACACCUAUCGAGGGAAAACAGGGCUGCUGGAUCGCGGUUCAUCGUAUCAGUACCCUUCGACACUUGAUGGACACGCAAGAAAUCAAAGAACCAAAAGCAACAGAAAGCGCUAGGUGAGAGCAGAAGGACUAAUGAGCAAAAUAAAAGAUUCAAAAAGGAGAGGAAGAUCGACCUCGACGGAACAGGAUAGGACGGUACAGUGUUAAAGGCGAAUGCUCAUUAAUUGAAGCCUUUAAGGGAAAAGGGAAAGAGGACGAAGACCGGGAAAGAGACAAAGCAGGAAAAGAGAACUUGAAAAAACCGCAAAUGACAAGAAAGAAAGGUAGAUCACCACCAAUGAAAAAACAGGAAAAGGGAGAGGGCGGAAAGAAAAAACGGCG
Bombus impatiens (common eastern bumble bee) is the source of this 2502-nucleotide long non-coding RNA. RefSeq lists it as uncharacterized. The record is from RefSeq and is a predicted model, not a curated record. The transcript has 2 exons. Lineage: Eukaryota; Metazoa; Arthropoda; Insecta; Hymenoptera; Apidae.